Rhinichthys klamathensis goyatoka is the source of this 607-nucleotide long non-coding RNA. RefSeq lists it as uncharacterized. The transcript is spliced from 3 exons. The record is from RefSeq and is a predicted model, not a curated record. NCBI's taxonomy places the organism in Eukaryota, Metazoa, Chordata, Actinopteri, Cypriniformes, Leuciscidae.
UCCAGGACUGCUGAAGUUCCUGUAUGAACAACUUUGAAAAACCAUGUAAAGUUUUAGCUUUUGUCAAAUCUCAAAAUGGAACUUUAACUGAACAUACCGAUAACUCCUUCAUCUAGGCGAUAGACGGUGAUCGGCACUUCAUUAUCAAACAGAUCCAGUAUAAUCUACCUGAUGAACAUCUACGUCCAGCCCUGAACCAUCUACCUGUGUCGGCACGGAGAGAACAACGACAACCUGGAGGGACAGCUGGGCCGUAAUGCAGGCCUCUCGCCGCGGCACAGACAGUUUUUGGUGGCUAAACCCGAGUCUGCAGUCCUACCAGAACCUGGUCCAAUCAGUCCGAUGGCUCUGAAGAAUUUACUACACAUUUCUUGCCUUCAACUUACCUGAAGACAAGAAGAGUACCCCCCCAAUCCAUGUUCCUCUGAAAAACCUUUUCCCCUCACACAUUUUAAAAUAAUUUAUUCAGUGGAUGCAAUUGUUGUAAUGUUAACAAAGUGUCAUAAAUUUGCAGACUUGAAACAAUUUAGAGAUGAGAAACUAUAUAUACUUUUCCCUUUUUUUUUUUUUUUUUUUUUUUUUUUUUUUUUUUUUGGAAUUGUUGUAG